Molecule: long non-coding RNA, 635 nt
Organism: Uranotaenia lowii
Lineage: Eukaryota; Metazoa; Arthropoda; Insecta; Diptera; Culicidae
Exons: 3
Source: RefSeq, a predicted model, not a curated record
GAACUCAUUUGCAAUCAAACUGCUCGCGAAUCUAGGACGAACAUGAAGCUUCUGUUGGUAGCAUUAAUUUCUGUUCUUUCAAUUUCUUCUAGUUAUGGGUAUACAAGGAUACAGUCGAACGCUAUCUCUUCAGAGUAUCCGGGGGAGUGUUAUGAUUCUGAAUCUGGAAUUCAUCUAGCAGUUGGUGCUUUUGGUUAUAACAAAAUAUGUGAAAAACUUAUAUGCCACGAAGGAUUCUCAAUUUCAUACCUUGGAUGUGGAGUAAUCGGACCUCCAGCGGGAUGUCAUGUGACUAAGAUUGAUUUUAACAAGCAGUAUCCAGAAUGUUGUCCACAGCUUGUAUGUGAAGAUCGACCCUGAGGAGCUGUGUGAUCGAACUUCUCAAUAUGUAGCCAUUUGAAUCAGGACUAGAAGAUACGAAUGUAUGCAAACCUUCUCAGAAAUGAAAUUAUGAUCGCAACAACAACAAAAUGGUCUGGAUCAUUCGACACAUACCUGCUCUGCAUGAAUUAGCACAGAUAAAAAGAACCAGCUUCCUUUUCCUCCGUUAUCAGGCAAUUCAAAAGAAUCCUUGCAUUGAAACAAACAAACCAACAAGAGUCAAAUAAAUUACUCCCGGAACAAUGAAUAAAUUA